RNAcentral lists this ribosomal RNA (251 nucleotides) under uncultured Rhizophagus. Its description in RNAcentral is "partial 18S ribosomal RNA". The record is from RNAcentral. Lineage: Eukaryota; Fungi; Glomeromycota; Glomeromycetes; Glomerales; Glomeraceae.
CCCAACUAUCCCUAUUAAUCAUUACGUCAAUCCUAGAAACCAACAAAAUAGGAUCGAUCGUCCUAUUUCAUUAUUCCAUGCUAAUGUAUUCAAGCGUUAGCCUGCUUUAAACACUUUAAUUUUUUCAAAGUAACAGUCCAGUUUCCCCGCAACACCAAAUUAAUGGCAUUACGGUUCAUCAGGAAGGAGGAAUCAGUAAGACCAGUGCAUACCAGUGGCACGACCAGCCUACUAACCCCGAAAUUCAACUA